AUUGAACGCUGGCGGCAGGCUUAACACAUGCAAGUCGAACGAGUGGAGGACGGGUGAGUAAUGGUUGGAACUCUAGCUUAUGGAGGGGGCUAACUACGGGAAACUGUAGCUAAUACCGCGUACCAUACGAUUGGCCCAAGUGGGAUUAGGUAGUUGGGGUGGUAUAGGCUCACCAAGCCGACGCUCUCUAGCUGGUCUGAGAGGAUGACCGGCCACACUGGGACUGAGACACGGCCCAGACUCCUACGGGAGGCAGCAGUGGGGAAUAUUGCGCAAGGGGCGCAAGCUGACGCAGCCAUGCCGCGUGAAUGAAGAAGGCCUUCGGGUGGUAAAGUUCUGUCGGUAGCGAGGCGUUAACUACAGAAGAAGCACCGGCUAACUCCGUGCCAGCAGCCGCGGUAAUAC
This 405-nucleotide ribosomal RNA is filed under the name uncultured bacterium. Its description in RNAcentral is "partial 16S ribosomal RNA". It matches the Rfam family "Bacterial small subunit ribosomal RNA", at positions 30 to 526 of the family's 1533-position model. The record is from RNAcentral.